GAAAAUUUGCAAUUUUAGUAUUUGUCUGGUAGGUUUCUUCAAGGAGAAAGCCCCA
Small nuclear RNA from Oncorhynchus mykiss (rainbow trout), 55 nucleotides. Its record names the gene U7. It matches the Rfam family "U7 small nuclear RNA". From Rfam's summary of the family: Animal histone pre-mRNAs are spliced by a different mechanism than nuclear pre-mRNAs and self-splicing introns. Lineage: Eukaryota; Metazoa; Chordata; Actinopteri; Salmoniformes; Salmonidae. The record is from Ensembl.